This 252-nucleotide ribosomal RNA is filed under the name uncultured bacterium. Its description in RNAcentral is "partial 16S ribosomal RNA". It matches the Rfam family "Bacterial small subunit ribosomal RNA", at positions 524 to 776 of the family's 1533-position model. The record is from RNAcentral.
UACGUAGGUGGCGAGCGUUAUCCGGAAUACUGGGCGUAAAGCGCACGCAGGCGGUCUUUUAAGUUUGACGUGAAAGCUCCCGGCUUAACUGGGAGAGGUCGUUGAAGACUGGAAGACUUGAGGCAAUGAGAGGGGUGUAGAAUUCCCGGUGUAGUGGUGGAAUGCGUAGAUAUCGGGGGGAAUACCAGUGGCGAAAGCGGCACCCUAGCGUUAGCCUGACGCUCAUGUGCGAAAGCGUGGGGAGCGAACGGG